RNAcentral lists this ribosomal RNA (484 nucleotides) under uncultured bacterium. RNAcentral describes it as "bacterial SSU rRNA". It matches the Rfam family "Bacterial small subunit ribosomal RNA", at positions 28 to 511 of the family's 1533-position model. The record is from RNAcentral.
GACGAACGCUGGCGGCGUGCCUAACACAUGCAAGUCGAACGGAACUGCUUCGAAGGAUUUCUUCGGAAUGACAUUGAUUCAGUUUAGUGGCGGACGGGUGAGUAACGCGUGAGUAACCUGCCUUCAAGAGGGGGAUAACAUUCUGAAAAGAAUGCUAAUACCGCAUGACAUAUGAUUGUCGCAUGGCAGAUAUAUCAAAGAUUUAUCGCUUGAAGAUGGACUCGCGUCCGAUUAGUUAGUUGGUGAGGUAACGGCCCACCAAGACCGCGAUCGGUAGCCGGACUGAGAGGUUGAACGGCCACAUUGGGACUGAGACACGGCCCAGACUCCUACGGGAGGCAGCAGUGGGGAAUAUUGCACAAUGGGGGAAACCCUGAUGCAGCAACGCCGCGUGAGUGAUGACGGUCUUCGGAUUGUAAAGCUCUGUCUUUUAGGGACGAUAAUGACGGUACCUAAGGAGGAAGCACGGCUAACUACGUGCCAG